ACGGCCAUACCAUGCUGAAUAUACCGGCUCACCUUAGAUCACCGAAGUCAAGCAUCAUUGGGCGCGGUCAGUACUUGGG
This 79-nucleotide ribosomal RNA is filed under the name Caerostris darwini. The record is from RNAcentral. Lineage: Eukaryota; Metazoa; Arthropoda; Arachnida; Araneae; Araneidae.